RNAcentral lists this ribosomal RNA (373 nucleotides) under uncultured organism. RNAcentral's name for it is "bacterial SSU rRNA". It matches the Rfam family "Bacterial small subunit ribosomal RNA", at positions 526 to 896 of the family's 1533-position model. The record is from RNAcentral.
CGUAGGGGGCAAGCGUUGUCCGGAUUUAUUGGGCGUAAAGAGCGUGUAGGCGGCCGCACAGGUCCGUUGUGAAAACUGGAGGCUUAACCUUCAGACGUCGAUGGAAACCGUGCGGCUAGAGUCCGGAAGAGGAGAAUGGAAUUCCUGGUGUAGCGGUGAAAUGCGCAGAUAUCAGGAAGAACACCCGUGGCUAAGGCGGUUCUCUAGUACGGUACUGACGCUGAGACGCGAAAGCGUGGGGAGCGAACAGGAUUAGAUACCCUGGUAGUCCACGCCGUAAACGAUGGGUGCUAGGUGUGGGGGGGUGUCGACUCCCCCCGUGCCGAAGCUAACGCAUUAAGCACCCCGCCUGGGGAGUACGGCCGCAAGGCUA